Molecule: ribosomal RNA, 294 nt
Filed under: uncultured bacterium
Lineage: Bacteria
Description: partial 16S ribosomal RNA
Source: RNAcentral
GGACUACCGGGGUUUCUAAUCCUUUUUGCUCCCCACGCUUUCGUGUUUCAGUGUCAGGGUCGCCCCAGCAAACUGCCUUCGCUUUUGGUGUUCCCGACAAUAUCAACGGAUUUCACCCCUACUUUGUCGGUUCCGUUUGCCUCUAACGCCCUCUGAGUCUGGCAGUAUUCCAAACAGUUCAAAGGUUAAGCCGAUGAAGUUUAAUUUGGAACUUACCAAACCACCUACACACCCUUUACGCCCAAUAAAUCCGGGUAACAUUUGGGGAUUCUGUAUUACCGCGGCGGCUGGCAC